GUUGUUUUGUUAUUAAUCUAUGCUGAGCCUCAAUUUAUUCACUUAGCAAAGGUUAUCUAUCAUCUUAUAGAGACCGUACCAUAGCUCUUUGCAUACUUUGAUUUUCAAACUAAAGUGAUGUUUACAAGUGCACCGGUUACGAUAAAAAUGUAAACAACGGACUCUGUCUAUGAAACUUUGAAAUGAAUGAAUGACAGUCGAUCUUAGUCAUAAUACUGAUUGACAGUGAAUGCUAAUGACUCCAUGUGUUGCAGAAAGCAUCUCGGCUGUCUGUCACAACUACUACUGGGCCAACACAGACUGUAACUGACGAACACAGUUCUGUUGAAUAUGACACAUCAUCUAGUGCAUUCUCCAAAGCUGAAAGUAAGAGUCCUGGUACACCUGUUUUGUUUAAACCUACCAACACAGACAUUAGAGCUGAACAGUCACAAGAUUUAAGUAUGAACCAAGUGGAGAUGUACUGGACCUAGCCAAACCCUUGUCAUUGUUGAGAAGUGUUCACCAAUUACUUCAGGAACGAGCCAAUGAGCAUUUUCAACGGUUUAUACAGUCACAGAGAUAUGCAAAUGAGGCGAGAAAUUUGGAAGAAUCGAUAGCUGCUUUAAAGGGGCAAAUAGAAAAAAGAUAACAGAAAUUGUUCUCUCAGAAAACAGCUGCAUGACUUUACUUU
Molecule: long non-coding RNA, 673 nt
Organism: Mercenaria mercenaria
Lineage: Eukaryota; Metazoa; Mollusca; Bivalvia; Venerida; Veneridae
Exons: 5
Source: RefSeq, a predicted model, not a curated record